UUUAUAGAGAGUUUGAUCCUGGCUCAGGACGAACGCUGGCGGCGUGCUUAACACAUGCAAGUCGAACGAGAAUCUAUGGAUCGAGGAUUCGUCCAAGUGAAGUAGAGGACAGUGGCGGACGGGUGAG
This 127-nucleotide ribosomal RNA is filed under the name Oscillibacter sp. RNAcentral's name for it is "partial 16S ribosomal RNA". It matches the Rfam family "Bacterial small subunit ribosomal RNA", at positions 1 to 110 of the family's 1533-position model. Lineage: Bacteria; Bacillati; Bacillota; Clostridia; Eubacteriales; Oscillospiraceae. The record is from RNAcentral.